Molecule: ribosomal RNA, 497 nt
Filed under: uncultured bacterium
Lineage: Bacteria
Description: partial 16S ribosomal RNA
Rfam family: Bacterial small subunit ribosomal RNA
Source: RNAcentral
GAUGAACGCUGGCGGCGUGCCUAAUACAUGCAAGUCGAGCGAACAGAUGAGGAGCUUGCUCCUCUGACGUUAGCGGCGGACGGGUGAGUAACACGUGGAUAACCUACCUAUAAGACUGGGAUAACUUCGGGAAACCGGAGCUAAUACCGGAUAAUAUAUUGAACCGCAUGGUUCAAUAGUGAAAGACGGUUUUGCUGUCACUUAUAGAUGGAUCCGCGCCGCAUUAGCUAGUUGGUAAGGUAACGGCUUACCAAGGCAACGAUACGUAGCCGACCUGAGAGGGUGAUCGGCCACACUGGAACUGAGACACGGUCCAGACUCCUACGGGAGGCAGCAGUAGGGAAUCUUCCGCAAUGGGCGAAAGCCUGACGGAGCAACGCCGCGUGAGUGAUGAAGGUCUUCGGAUCGUAAAACUCUGUUAUUAGGGAAGAACAAAUGUGUAAGUAACUAUGCACGUCUUGACGGUACCUAAUCAGAAAGCCACGGCUAACUACGUG